This 222-nucleotide ribosomal RNA is filed under the name uncultured bacterium. RNAcentral's name for it is "partial 16S ribosomal RNA". It matches the Rfam family "Bacterial small subunit ribosomal RNA", at positions 524 to 745 of the family's 1533-position model. The record is from RNAcentral.
UACGUAGGGUGCGAGCGUUGUCCGGAAUUAUUGGGCGUAAAGAGCUUGUAGGCGGUCUGUCGCGUCUGCUGUGAAAAUCCGGGGCUCAACCCCGGACUUGCAGUGGGUACGGGCAGACUAGAGUGUGGUAGGGGAGACUGGAAUUCCUGGUGUAGCGGUGAAAUGCGCAGAUAUCAGGAGGAACACCGAUGGCGAAGGCAGGUCACUGGGCCGCAACUGACG